GGACAUCAGGAGGUUAGUGCAAUGGCAUAAGCCAGCUUGACUGCGAGCGUGACGGCGCGAGCAGGUGCGAAAGCAGGUCAUAGUGAUCCGGUGGUUCUGAAUGGAAGGGCCAUCGCUCAACGGAUAAAAGGUACUCCGGGGAUAACAGGCUGAUACCGCCCAAGAGUUCAUAUCGACGGCGGUGUUUGGCACCUCGAUGUCGGCUCAUCACAUCCUGGGGCUGAAGUAGGUCCCAAGGGUAUGGCUGUUCGCCAUUUAAAGUGGUACGCGAGCUGGGUUUAGAACGUCGUGAGACAGUUCGGUCCCUA
This 308-nucleotide ribosomal RNA is filed under the name Escherichia coli. Its description in RNAcentral is "partial 23S ribosomal RNA". It matches the Rfam family "Bacterial large subunit ribosomal RNA", at positions 2333 to 2640 of the family's 2925-position model. Lineage: Bacteria; Pseudomonadati; Pseudomonadota; Gammaproteobacteria; Enterobacterales; Enterobacteriaceae. The record is from RNAcentral.